UCUGGUUGAUCCUGCCAGUAAUUAUAUGCUUGUUUUGAAGAUUAAGCCAUGCAAGUGUAAGUAUAAGUAACUCGUACUUUACAAAACUGCGAACGGCUCAUUAAAUCAGUUAUAAUUUAUUUGAUUAUCACCUUUCCUACUUGGAUAACCGAAGGAAAUCAUCGGCUAAUACAUGCGAAAAGGCGCGACUUUACGGAAGCGCUGUAUUUAUUAGAUUCAAAAAUCAAUGCGGUCUUCGGACCGGUUUCAUUGGUGAUUCAUAAUAACUUUGCGAAUCGGGCGGCCUAGCGCCGACGAUGAUUCAAAUAAAUUUCUGCCCUAUCAACUUUCGAUUGUAGUGUAGUGGACUACAAUGGUCGUAACGGGUAACGGAGAAUUAGGGUUCGAUUCCGGAGAGGGAGCCUGAGAGACGGCUACCAUUUCUAAGGGAAGCAGCAGGCGCGCAAAUUACUCAAUCUCAAUUCGAGGAAGUAGUGAACAAAAAUAACAAUGCGAGGCGUCAAUGACGUCUUGCAAUUGGAAUGAGUACAAUCUAAAUAACUUAACGAGUAUCGAUUGGAGGGCAAGUCUGGUGCCAGCAGCCGCGGUAACUCCAGCUCCAAUAGCGUAUAUUAAUGUUGCUGCAGUUAAAAAGCUCGUAGUUGAAUCUUGGAGGCGUUUGUAAUCUGGUCCGCCUCGAAGGCGAGUACCGAUUACGACCCUCUGUAUCUGGUAACAGCGCACUACUGUGCUUAAUUGUGCGGUAGUUUCAGGAAGAGGAGACUCGACUUGAAGGUUGGGAGUAGUGUCGGGGAAAUGGGGUUUAACGCUUCGUUUUCACGCGGUGCUUCUGGCAGUGUUUUACCUAUUUUACUUUGAAAAAAUUAGAGUGUUCAAAGCAAGGCGUUUUUGCCUAUUGAAUAUUGCAGCAUGGGAUAAUAGAAAAAGAUAGUCUGUCUUAUUUUGUUGGUUUUUUAAGAUGACAAUAAUGAUAGAAGGGGAUGGUUGGGGCGGUCUGUAUUGCAACGUCAGAGGUGAAAUUCUUAGAUUGUUGUAAGACAAACUACUGCGAAAGCUUUCCGCUAGGACAUAUUCAUCAAUCAAGAACGAAAGUUGGGGGAUCGAAGACGAUCAGAUACCGUCGUAGUCUCAACCAUAAACAAUGCCGACCAAGGAUUGGAGAGUGUUAAUUUAUAAUGACUUCCCCAGCACUUUGCGAGAAAUCACAAGUCUUUGGGUUCCGGGGGGAGUAUGGUCGCAAGGCUGAAACUUAAAGGAAUUGACGGAAGGGCACCACCAGGCGUGGAACUUGCGGCUUAAUUUGACCCAACACGGGGAAACUUACCAGGUCCAGACAGCGUUAGGAUUGACAGAUUGAGAGCUCUUUCAUGAUUCGUUGGGUGGUGGUGCAUGGCCGUUCUUAGUUGGUGGUGUGAAUUGUCUGGUUGAUUCCGUUAACGAACGAGACCUUGACUUACUAAAUAGCGG
This 1467-nucleotide ribosomal RNA is filed under the name metagenome. Its description in RNAcentral is "SSU rRNA". It matches the Rfam family "Eukaryotic small subunit ribosomal RNA", at positions 1 to 1361 of the family's 1831-position model. The record is from RNAcentral.